Long non-coding RNA from Impatiens glandulifera, 264 nucleotides. RefSeq lists it as uncharacterized. The transcript is spliced from 3 exons. The record is from RefSeq and is a predicted model, not a curated record. NCBI's taxonomy places the organism in Eukaryota, Viridiplantae, Streptophyta, Magnoliopsida, Ericales, Balsaminaceae.
AGUAUUUUACAAUAUGAGUAUACAAUCUCAAAGAUAGAGGGAUCUAAGUGAAUCUGAAUAUACAAAAUCUAACGAGGAUGUACGUGAAUAUGAAAUUAGCGAUAGAAGAACAAAAAAGGACAAAAAGGUUCCGAAGACAAAAGCUUAUAUUUAGUUUGCAGAAAUGGCUAGUGUGCUUCCUGCUCGUGAGGAAAGAAAGAAGAGCGGCAAAGUUGGAGAAUGGGUGGAUUGAAGCUAGCAUUAUUAGGAGCUAUUUGGAAAUGC